Long non-coding RNA from Lagenorhynchus albirostris (white-beaked dolphin), 2743 nucleotides. RefSeq lists it as uncharacterized. The record is from RefSeq and is a predicted model, not a curated record. Lineage: Eukaryota; Metazoa; Chordata; Mammalia; Artiodactyla; Delphinidae. The transcript has 3 exons.
GGUGUGGGGCUGGGAAAGGAGAGGCCAGGGCAGCGUCUCUCGGCGCUGCCUUGCUUGGCCCGGCAUCCUCCCCUUCUGCUUAGUGCCCGAGGGGAAACUGAGGCAGCUGUCCAGCAGGGCACAAACAUCACUUCAGGAAGAUGCCUGGAACAGUGUCCAGCACUUAUGGGGCCUCCAUGUUGAAUGGUAAACGUUGAAUGUUGAGUGAUUUACUGGAGUUAGUUAGGGCAGAGCCAGCCUCAGGACCCAGAUGUCCAGGUGGCUGGACCAGGCCUCUUCUCCUGCUUGGCCUCACCAACCCUGCCACAGGUCUCCCACUGCACCCCUUCAGAGCCAGCAAUUGGUGAAUAAAUGGAGGCAAGAACGUAUGAAUGAAUCAUUUCUGUGCCUGAGCCAUGGAGAAUUUGGAGGUUUGUUCAAACCCGGACUCUCUGUUCUUUCAGCUGGAGGGGCUGGCCGGGAAGGCGAUCUCGGCACCUGAGCUGGGCCUUCCCCAGGCCUGUCAGCUCCCUGGCACGUGCACAGGGAGUGGGAAUGAGUGAGUGGGUAUGGGUGAGUGGGAGUGGGUAUGGGCCCCUACUCUAGUAGAACCUGUGCUAGGUGUUUUAUUUAUAUUAACAUAAAUAGGAAUGAGUAUGUGAGGGGACCUGGGGCCCACAGGCAAUGGGCAACCUGUGCACAGGGACACUGAGACAGGCUGGGCUUCUCCCUGCCAGGGCAGAGGAAAGGGAGAGCUCUGCCAGGGCCUGGGCAUCCUGGACUGGGGCCUCUCUCUCCUCGACAGGCUCUGUUGAAGGAAGCGGCCCAUGGAGGGGCCAGACAUCAAGGGCUCCUGGGACCUUGUGCAGAUGUGGGAUGUCUGGCCUGAGAGCUUCUAGGCCCAGUUCACACACUUGGGUGGGGAGGGAUUGGUGUUGGCCUGUUUGGGGGGUGAGGGGCCUGAGGAAAUGCCGGUCCUUUUGAUGCCCCAGAAGAGCUGCUUGCCCCCUGCCCCAGCCUGGAUGGAGGUGGCAUCCCCCAGGCCUGUCACCUCUCCCACACCCAGUGGCAGCCCUCCUCCCACGCCCCAGUGGCACUCUUCCAUAGCAGUUUCCACAGUUUUAUACAUGAAAAGGUCACACAUGGGGCAAAAUCUCAGCUUCCCCACUUACUAGUUUUACGAAUUUUGCAGGUAAUCUAACUUGGAGCCCAUUUCUCAGUUGUACCAUGGAGAUAAUACCUGUUAUCACCAGGUUGUUGUGAGUGUAAAAUAAGAUUCAACAAAUACCUAGCUGACAUCUUCAACCCUUGGGCCUUGCAAGGCUGAUGUGCAUCACUGCUGGGGAGGGGCCCCAGGUACCAAGGAAGAGGGAGGAGACGCUGAUUUCCUCCCUAGCCCCGGGCUCAGGCAGGCCACGUCAACCCUGAAACAGCUCCAGAAUUGCCCAGCCAAGAGAAGGGUCGAGAAUCUAAGCACCAGGUUUUUGGAUGGAACCUGACCUAGGUAGGCUCUUCUCAUCCUUGCCCACUCCUAAGGGUCUAGUGGUCUCUGAUGGCCAAAUACCAGAAGAGGUGUGUCCUGUUCUCACCACCUGUCAGCAGAGGGAGCGGGGCAGUUCCCAACCUCAUGGAACCUGCUUCCGUGUGGAAAAGGCCCUGUGGGAAUGGGCACCCGGAAGUGUCCUGGGCCGAGGGGAGAGGUGGUAAAAGGGCCCUGUGACACUGUGCCCACCCAGGGGUCAGGUGAGGAUGACUAAUCGUUUCGUGAGGUUCACAGGGGCUGGGUCACUCUAACUCUCCCCAUCCCAAAAGGGGCCCCAGAAACAAAACAAGCAGGGAGCAAGCAGAAGGUUAUUAUAUAUCAUGCUUUUAAUACAAACUUAAAAAAAUCUGGAACAAUAUAAACUGUACAGAUUUGAUCAAUCUUUUUGUUUUGUUUUUAAACUAAAUCUCUAAACACACCAAUGUUCCAUUCCAAAAUAUUGCACAACAUUCUGAAUACAAAACACUUGAUUGUAUUCCUCCUUCACUAAAGAAAACAAAUUCAUUACCCUGCUCCCGCCAGCUCCUCUCCAUGUUGCCUCAGUGCCCCCCUUCCCAUCCCCAGGGGUCAAACUAGAGAAUCUACAGCUCACUGCACUGAGAAAAAGACAUCAUUCUGGACUAAAAGUUUACUUCCUUUACAAGACGAUCCACCUUUUGACUUGUUCCUGGGAAAGGGGGGUAGACAGAGAGAGGAUGGGGAAAGGGGAGAAAUAGGUUUUAUUCUCCUCUUUUUUUAUUUUAAAGUUUGUUUUUCCUGAAAAAAUAUCUUUCUCUCCUCUUAAGAAAAAAUCUUGAAAAGAAAAAAAUUACCUUUACGUUAGAAAUAUACAUAUAUUAUAUAUACCUCUUACAUUUUACAAAUGUAGCAAAUUAUUCAAUACAAACGGACACCAAAAAAUGUAAAAAAUAAAAAAAAAAGUUUUCCUAUGAAACCAGGUAAAUUAGUGCAGAUUUUUGUUUUGUUUUCUUAAAAAAAAAAAUAAAGUUGAAGCAAAAAUGCCUAGAUUUGAGACAGACUGAGGUGGGCCCAAGAGCCCAGCACAGGAGUCAUGCUCCUGAUCACACAUUUUUCUUCGUAUUUCAAAAGACACUAAGGGGUUGGUCUCCCCCUCCCUGUAUGUGGUGAGGAACAAGCCGCCCAGGGUGUGGUGGGUGCCUGUGUGCAUGAGUGGGGGAAGAGGGGCUGGAAGGGGGCAUAAGGCAGCAUCCAACCUUUCCC